UGGGGAAUAUUGGACAAUGGGCGAAAGCCUGAUCCAGCAAUGCCGCGUGAGUGAUGAAGGCCUUAGGGUUGUAAAGCUCUUUUACCAGGGAUGAUAAUGACAGUACCUGGAGAAUAAGCUCCGGCUAACUCCGUGCCAGCAGCCGCGGUAAUACGGAGGGGGCUAGCGUUGUUCGGAAUUACUGGGCGUAAAGCGCACGUAGGCGGCGAUUUAAGUCAGAGGUGAAAGCCCGGGGCUCAACCCCGGAAUAGCCUUUGAGACUGGAUUGCUUGAACAUCGGAGAGGUGAGUGGAAUUCCGAGUGUAGAGGUGAAAUUCGUAGAUAUUCGGAAGAACACCAGUGGCGAAGGCGGCUCACUGGACGAUUGUUGACGCUGAGGUGCGAAAGCGUGGGGAGCAAACA
Molecule: ribosomal RNA, 402 nt
Filed under: uncultured Sphingobium sp.
Lineage: Bacteria; Pseudomonadati; Pseudomonadota; Alphaproteobacteria; Sphingomonadales; Sphingobiaceae
Description: bacterial SSU rRNA
Rfam family: Bacterial small subunit ribosomal RNA
Source: RNAcentral